RNAcentral lists this long non-coding RNA (2781 nucleotides) under Triticum aestivum (bread wheat). RNAcentral's name for it is "long non-coding RNA (TAES_LNC017575)". The record is from RNAcentral. Lineage: Eukaryota; Viridiplantae; Streptophyta; Magnoliopsida; Poales; Poaceae.
AUAUAUAAGCAAGGCAGGUAGCCAAUAUAGGCUGAAGUUAUACCAAAAACAACUUAGCUACAAAGGUACACCUCAAAAAUGAGGUUAGUAAACACUUAGUAAUGAUUCAGUACUAAACAUCAAGGUUUAUCACAUGACAUUGGCAGAUUUCAUACCAGAUCUUACUUGUUGUAACAAAUAUACAAAUAUACUCAGAGCAACCUUCUAGGAGCGUUAGUGCAUUUCAUAAAACAAUGCUAUAAAAGGGGGCAUCGACCAUACAACAUACUUGUUGAUCCUCAACUUUCACUUCUAUCUCCAAGUAUAUUGGAAUUCCAAAGAGCAGUCUUAGGGCGCCGUGCCCUGUCCAGCACCAUGGUCCAGUGCUCAAAUCUAAACCAUAAAGCAGGUUACAGUGAUAUACAGGGAAAGAAUAUACAUAAGUGAACCCCUAACAAAGCCCUAGAUUACUUAGGUAUCAUCUUCACACACCCAUGAGACUUCAGGUUGUAGCCUUAAAGAUAAGUGUAGACAAACCCUGUCAAUAAUAAUACAUGAGCUGCAAGAGUAGAGAACAUUUGUUGUAUACGAAGCCACACCAUUCUCUGCCAUAAAAGUAGGGAGACAGAGCACUAAAACAAGAAAGGGUAAAUGUUUCACUGAUGGAUGAACUUUGCAAAUAACACUCAAAAGGGGAUGAACAGCAAUGGGAAAUUUUCCUCUAAGACUGCCGCAAAUCAUUAUGAAUCAUGGGCAUGUGUCAUGCACACACACAUGAUGUAUUUUUAUUAUUACCAUGCACUACUGCCUACUCCUCUAUAUAUCAUUAAGAACAUGUCACUAAAUCCUUGAUGGUUGAAACCAAGAUAAAGUUAAAGGUUCAAAUUUUACUAACCUAAGGCGGUAAUUCAAGCAGCUUGUUGAAGCCUUUCCAAAAAAAGCCUCUAAAAAAUAAUCAGCCAAACUAUUGUACUAAACAUAAGAACUUAUUCCAGAGAUAUGUUAACACAUUAUGAAAGAUCAUACCUCCACAAAGCAAAUCAGGAAUGGCAGAUCCAUGGAUGUCCAUCCCCACUUUCUACAAUUACAAAAAAAUAAAAUCUAAGGUGAGAACAUCACUGACUUAUAAGUGGAAACAGAAUUUUUCUAUGAACCAUAGCAUGCACUUGACAAAGUAAAAUACCCAUAAAUGGAGUUACUAUGUGAACUAUAGCAUGCACUUGACAAAGUAAAGAAUGUGGACUGGAGUUAAACCGAUAUAAUCAUACAGUGGUAUUUUCCUGAAAAUUUAAUUAUAAAAAGAGAGCUUCAUGGGCGACAUGACUGUUGCUCUGGGCAUAUGUGACUUUAUCUAUAUGAAAAGUAUAUAUGUCCAUUCCUCAUGAACUUCCAGCCGAAUAGUUGACAAAAUUCUUCAUGGUUGCUCUGCAUUUUGGUACAUGUGAUUGCCUUGCCUUUUGCUAUGGCUUUGACAAAUGAUCCUAUACCAAGUAGCAACAAUAUUGUGGUUUGUUUAAACGCUGAGACAAAACUUUCAGCGAGGCACCACAUGCCAAGGCACGUUUCCGAUCUGCUACUCCCUAUGUUUCAAAAUAUAAUUUUUUUGGAUAUUUCAAUACGUACUACUUACGGAUGUAUAUAGACAUAUUUUAGAAUGUAGGUUCACUCAUCUCUCUCUGUAUGUAGCCCUUAUUGGAAUAUCUAAAAAGACAUAUAUUUAGGAAUGGAGGGAGUAUAUCGUUAUAAUGGAAUUCUGUAUCUAAUUCGGACAAAACAAAACUGAAGGGUGCUUAUUACUCUAGCUAAAUACUGAUGGAAUUACAUUAUUUGAACUGAAGCAGUUUUCAUAUAUUACAAGGACAACAAAUAAUAUUGAAGUGUUACUUUAAAUAUGUAGCUACACUUCUAGGUCAAUUAAUGUAAUGGAGCAACCCUUUUCUUUGUCGUCUGUGCAUGCGACACAGGUUGCUGAAUGUUUCAGCUAAUCUAGUACCCGGGAAAAAACAGCUAAAUGUACUCAAUGUUUGUUCCUUCUCCACUGGACACCAACAGAGGGCUUCCAUAUGAUACAAUACUCAAAGGUCUAGAUGAUGACAGAGGAACCAAAGGUCUACCAAAGGAUGCUUCAAUGUCUCAUUUUAAAAAGUCAACAGGUUGAUGUUCUUUUUCCUAUCUCAUUUUGUCGGUUUGAUACUUGAAAUAUCACAUGAUUAUUGUUCAGAUGCACCUGUUAUCUAAAUUGGUUCCUGCUGACACACUCAGGCAGUACAAGUCUCACAAUAAAUCUGAUUCCACACAUGCAGCCACUCUGUAGAUUAAGUUGGCACUGACACUUAUUUAAGUUGAUUCUAGUGUAACAAUGAAAAACUUUGGAGAACCCAUACCUUACAGCUAUUAUAAAUAUAGGUUAUUACUUCAGAACCAUAUAAUGAGAGAGAGGUCUAUUUUUAGGUUAUUACUACUUCAGAACCACAUACCAUUUAACAGUAUUACUUUUUAGAAGAUAAUUUGUUGUGCUUCUAGAGAAUUGGCAGAAUAAUCAGAAGCAAAGGUCCGAUGGUUCAUUGUAUCAACCAAUCAUGAAUUACUGGCUAAAGGUUCUAGAAUUUACAUUAUACAUAAGUAGUAGAAAAACAUAAUUUUUGUUUUAACUUGAGUUGUAUCUGUAACAUAGUGAUAUUCAGAGGACCCAAACAUGGGUACUUCCAACGCUAUCACACACAAAGUUAAAUGCAUUGGCUUUAGAGAUACCUCGACAGAUGUCAUUAGGUGGAGAAGUUAUAUUCAACAGGGCAUGAAGAG